AGUGAACGCUGGCGGUAGGCCUAACACAUGCAAGUCGAACGGCAGCACAGUAAGAGCUUGCUCUUACGGGUGGCGAGUGGCGGACGGGUGAGGAAUACAUCGGAAUCUACUUUUUCGUGGGGGAUAACGUAGGGAAACUUACGCUAAUACCGCAUACGACCUACGGGUGAAAGCAGGGGAUCUUCGGACCUUGCGCGAUUGAAUGAGCCGAUGUCGGAUUAGCUAGUUGGCGGGGUAAAGGCCCACCAAGGCGACGAUCCGUAGCUGGUCUGAGAGGAUGAUCAGCCACACGGGAAAUGAGACACGGGCCAGACCCCUACGGGGGGCAGCGGGGGGGAAUAUUGGACAAGGGGCGCAAGCCUGAUCCAGCCAUACCGGGGGGGUGAAGAAGGCCUUUGGGUUGUAAAGCCCUUUUGUUGGGAAAAAAAAGCAGCAGGUUAAUACCCCGCUGUUUUGACGGUCCCCAAAAAAAAAGCCCCGGCUAACUUCGU
This 491-nucleotide ribosomal RNA is filed under the name uncultured bacterium. RNAcentral's name for it is "partial 16S ribosomal RNA". It matches the Rfam family "Bacterial small subunit ribosomal RNA", at positions 29 to 506 of the family's 1533-position model. The record is from RNAcentral.